UUUUAAAGGAUAAUAGCAAUCCAUUGGUUUUAGGCACCAAAAAUCUUGGUGCAAAUCC
RNAcentral lists this transfer RNA (58 nucleotides) under Phymaturus extrilidus. Its description in RNAcentral is "partial tRNA-Leu". Lineage: Eukaryota; Metazoa; Chordata; Lepidosauria; Squamata. The record is from RNAcentral.